GGGCGAAAGUCUGACGGAGCAAUACCGCGUGAGGGAAGACGGCCUAUGGGUUGUAAACCUCUUUUUUCAGGGAGGAAUUUUGACGUGUACCUGAAGAAUAAGCAUCGGCUAACUCCGUGCCAGCAGCCGCGGUAAGACGGAGGAUGCAAGUGUUAUCCGGAAUCACUGGGCGUAAAGCGUCUGUAGGUGGUUAAGCAAGUCAACUGUUAAAUCUUGAGGCUCAACUUCAAAAUCGCAGUCGAAACUGUUUGACUAGAGUAUAGUAGGGGUAAAGGGAAUUUCCAGUGGAGCGGUGAAAUGCGUAGAUAUUGGAAAGAACACCGAUGGCGAAGGCACUUUACUGGGCUAUUACUGACACUCAGAGACGAAAGCUAGGGUAGCAAAUGGGAUUAGAUACCCCAGUAGUCCUAGCCGUAAACAAUGGAUACUAGAUGUUGAACAGAUCGACCCGUGCAGUAUCAAAGCUAACGCGUUAAGUAUCCCGCCUGGGAAGUAUGCUCGCAAGAGUGAAACUCAAAG
This 519-nucleotide ribosomal RNA is filed under the name uncultured bacterium. RNAcentral's name for it is "bacterial SSU rRNA". It matches the Rfam family "Bacterial small subunit ribosomal RNA", at positions 373 to 906 of the family's 1533-position model. The record is from RNAcentral.